CACGUAGGCACCAAGCGUUGUCCGGAUUUAUUGGGCGUAAAGAGCUUGUAGGCGGUUCAGUAAGUCGGGUGUGAAAACUCUGGGCUCAACCCAGAGACGCCACCCGAUACUGCUGUGACUUGAGUACGGUAGGGGAGUGGGGAAUUCCUGGUGUAGCGGUGAAAUGCGCAGAUAUCAGGAGGAACACCAGUGGCGAAGGCGCCACUCUGGGCCGUAACUGACGCUGAGGAGCGAAAGCGUGGGUAGCAAACAGG
This 254-nucleotide ribosomal RNA is filed under the name uncultured bacterium. Its description in RNAcentral is "partial 16S ribosomal RNA". It matches the Rfam family "Bacterial small subunit ribosomal RNA", at positions 524 to 776 of the family's 1533-position model. The record is from RNAcentral.